AUAGUUCACUUCAGCAGCAUAUAUGCUAAAAUUGGAAUGCUGCAGAGAAGAUUAGAAUGUUACUUGCAUAAGGAUAAAACAAAAAUUUGUGAAGCAUCCUAUGGUUUU
RNAcentral lists this small nuclear RNA (108 nucleotides) under Procavia capensis (Cape rock hyrax). The record is from RNAcentral. Lineage: Eukaryota; Metazoa; Chordata; Mammalia; Hyracoidea; Procaviidae.